This 75-nucleotide antisense RNA is filed under the name Streptomyces sp. 604F. RNAcentral describes it as "ASpks sRNA". It matches the Rfam family "ASpks TB sRNA". RNAcentral also lists the same sequence under 1 other name. Lineage: Bacteria; Bacillati; Actinomycetota; Actinomycetes; Kitasatosporales; Streptomycetaceae. The record is from RNAcentral.
CUUCACCGACCCCAGCCACAGCGGCCGCUCCGGGUCCCUGCCCUGCCCGUACGUGGCCAACAGCGCACCGGCCUC